RNAcentral lists this ribosomal RNA (497 nucleotides) under uncultured bacterium. RNAcentral describes it as "partial 16S ribosomal RNA". It matches the Rfam family "Bacterial small subunit ribosomal RNA", at positions 28 to 507 of the family's 1533-position model. The record is from RNAcentral.
GAUGAACGCUGGCGGCGUGCCUAAUACAUGCAAGUCGAGCGAACGGACGAGAAGCUUGCUUCUCUGAUGUUAGCGGCGGACAGGUGAGUAACACGUGGAUAACCUACCUAUAAGACUGGGAUAACUUCGGGAAACCGGAGCUAAUACCGGAUAAUAUUUUGAACCGCAUGGUUCAAAAGUGAAAGACGGUCUUGCUGUCACUUAUAGAUGGAUCCGCGCUGCAUUAGAUAGUUGGUAAGGUAACGGCUUACCAAGGCAACGAUGCAUAGCCGACCUGAGAGGGUGAUCGGCCACACUGGAACUGAGACACGGUCCAGACUCCUACGGGAGGCAGCAGUAGGGAAUCUUCCGCAAUGGGCGAAAGCCUGACGGAGCAACGCCGCGUGAGUGAUGAAGGUCUUCGGAUCGUAAAACUCUGUUAUUAGGGAAGAACAUAUGUGUAAGUAACUGUGCACAUCUUGACGGUACCUAAUCAGAAAGCCACGGCUAACUACGUG